GGUCUCGUAGCUCAGUUGGUUAGAGCGUACGCUUCACAUGAUUUGCUCUCAUACUGGUGCAUAAUCGUCUGAACGCGUAAGGUCGGCGGUUCGAUCCCGCCCGCGAUCA
This 109-nucleotide transfer RNA is filed under the name Saitozyma sp. JCM 24511. It matches the Rfam family "tRNA". From Rfam's summary of the family: Transfer RNA (tRNA) molecules are approximately 80 nucleotides in length. Their secondary structure includes four short double-helical elements and three loops (D, anti-codon, and T loops). Lineage: Eukaryota; Fungi; Basidiomycota; Tremellomycetes; Tremellales; Trimorphomycetaceae. The record is from Rfam by way of RNAcentral.